CGGCAGGCUUACACAUGCAAGUCGAGGGGUAUUUCGGAUUUAUUCGGGAGAGACCGGCGCACGGGUGCGUAACGCGUAUGCAAUCUACCUUUUACAGAGGGAUAGCCCAGAGAAAUUUGGAUUAAUACCUCAUAGUAUUAUGAAAUGGCAUCAUUUUAUAAUUAAAGUCACAACGGUAAAAGAUGAGCAUGCGUCCCAUUAGUUAGUUGGUAAGGUAACGGCUUACCAAGACAAUGAUGGGUAGGGGUCCUGAGAGGGAGAUCCCCCACACUGGUACUGAGACACGGACCAGACUCCUACGGGAGGCAGCAGUGAGGAAUAUUGGACAAUGGGCGCAAGCCUGAUCCAGCCAUGCCGCGUGCAGGAAGACGGUCCUAUGGAUUGUAAACUGCUUUUGUACAGGAAGAAACAUCCCGACGUGUCGGGACUUGACGGUACUGUAAGAAUAAGGAUCGGCUAACUCCGUGCCAGCAGCCGCGGUAAUACGGAGGAUCCAAGCGUUAUCCGGAAUCAUUGGGUUUAAAGGGUCCGUAGGCGGUUUAAUAAGUCAGUGGUGAAAUCUGGUCGCUCAACGAUCAAACGGCCAUUGAUACUGUUAAACUUGAAUUAUAAGGAAGUAACUAGAAUAUGUAGUGUAGCGGUGAAAUGCUUAGAUAUUACAUGGAAUACCAAUUGCGAAGGCAGGUUACUACUUAUGGAUUGACGCUGAUGGACGAAAGCGUGGGGAGCGAACAGGAUUAGAUACCCUGGUAGUCCACGCCGUAAACGAUGGAUACUAGCUGUUGGGAGCAAUCUCAGUGGCUAAGCGAAAGUGAUAAGUAUCCCACCUGGGGAGUACGUUCGCAAGAAUGAAACUCAAAUGAAUUGACGG
This 871-nucleotide ribosomal RNA is filed under the name uncultured Flavobacterium sp. RNAcentral's name for it is "bacterial SSU rRNA". It matches the Rfam family "Bacterial small subunit ribosomal RNA", at positions 40 to 916 of the family's 1533-position model. The record is from RNAcentral. Lineage: Bacteria; Pseudomonadati; Bacteroidota; Flavobacteriia; Flavobacteriales; Flavobacteriaceae.